GCACGUAAUGAAGAAAAAUCGAUAAUCGCAAAUCUUCCCUCGCACCCGCAAAAGCAUUCCGCCAUCCACGUAGUUCUCACGAAAUAUUAAUUUGUACUUUUAGUCCUACCCUUUUAAGGAUAGAAUGACGAACGGACAGAGGGGUGGUAAUUAGUGGGAUAAUCGUCCAAGGCCACUGCGUGGGGAGGUUGCGCACGGCGGCCAUGUUUGUUGUGAUGUGUUGAGGCGGGGAUUCGUGUUUUCCAGGUCCGGAUUAGAGACCGAUAAAUUUCUUCAUAAGGGACCAAUCAAGGGCUGUGGAGUCGGAGUCGGAGUCGGAGUCGAGGAGUCGGAGUCGGUAAAAUUGUCCAGACUCCGACUCCGACUCGCAAAGGUAAAGCGACAUCGGAGUGAAAACGCAGCAGCGGUAGACAUUAAAAAUACGAGAGUUCAGCAAGAUUUCUUUGGUGCACUGAUGGAAGUGGAGAAAUUUGACCGGUCUUCAAAAGUGACAGUGGAAGAAGCCAUACCUGCUUACCCAGAGAUUGUAAAAGAUGUUGCUAGAGCUGUGACAGCAAUGCCACCCACUCAGGUCAGUGUAGAAAGACUGUUUUCUGCACUGAAAAUAAUCAGAUCAGAUUUAAGGGCUUCCAUGAAGGAAGGUCUGACUGAAGCUAUUCUGUUCCUAAGAACAAUUAUAUGAACUCAGGCAUAUUCAUUGCAGUGAUUCCACUGA
Molecule: long non-coding RNA, 715 nt
Organism: Homarus americanus (American lobster)
Lineage: Eukaryota; Metazoa; Arthropoda; Malacostraca; Decapoda; Nephropidae
Exons: 3
Source: RefSeq, a predicted model, not a curated record